Molecule: ribosomal RNA, 848 nt
Filed under: Sidera sp. CFMR FP102984
Lineage: Eukaryota; Fungi; Basidiomycota; Agaricomycetes; Hymenochaetales; Rickenellaceae
Description: eukaryotic LSU rRNA
Rfam family: Eukaryotic large subunit ribosomal RNA
Source: RNAcentral
AUUCCCCUAGUAACUGCGAGUGAAGCGGGAAAAGCUCAAAUUUGAAAUCUGGUGGCUUCGCCAUCCGAGUUGUAAUCUGGAGAAGCGUUUUCUGCGUUGGACCGUGUACAAGUCUCUUGGAAUAGAGCGUCAUAGAGGGUGAGAAUCCCGUCUUUGACACGGACUGCCAAUGCUUUUGUGAUACGCUCUCGAAGAGUCGAGUUGUUUGGGAAUGCAGCUCUAAAUGGGUGGUAAAUUCCAUCUAAAGCUAAAUAUUGGCGAGAGACCGAUAGCGAACAAGUACCGUGAGGGAAAGAUGAAAAGCACUUUGGAAAGAGAGUUAAACAGUACGUGAAAUUGUUGAAAGGGAAACGCUUGAAGUCAGUCGUGUCUCGUGAGACUCAGCCUUGCUUCUGCUUGGUGUACUUCUCACUUGACAGGCCAACAUCAAUUUUGGUCGGUGGAUAAAGGCUUGAGGAAUGUGGCAUCUUCGGGUGUGUUAUAGCCUCUUGUUGUAUGCGUCGGCUGGGAUUGAGGACCGCAUCUUUAGGAUGUUGGCAUAAUGGCUUUAAGCGACCCGUCUUGAAACACGGACCAAGGAGUCUAACAUGCCUGCGAGUGUUAGGGUGGAAAACCCUUGCGCGUAAUGAAAGUGAAAAUUGGGACCUCUGUCAUGGAGGGCACCGAUGCCCGGCCUUGAGCUUCUGUGACGGUGCCGCGGUAGAGCAUGUAUGUUGGGACCCGAAAGAUGGUGAACUAUGCCUGAAUAGGGUGAAGCCAGAGGAAACUCUGGUGGAGGCUCGUAGCGAUUCUGACGUGCAAAUCGAUCGUCAAAUUUGGGUAUAGGGGCGAAAGACUAAUCGAACCAU